This 1487-nucleotide ribosomal RNA is filed under the name uncultured bacterium. RNAcentral describes it as "bacterial SSU rRNA". It matches the Rfam family "Bacterial small subunit ribosomal RNA". The record is from RNAcentral.
AUGGCUCAGAUUGAACGCUGGCGGCAGGCCUAACACACGCAAGUCGAACGGUAACAGGAAGCAGCUUGCUGCUUUGCUGACGAGUGGCGGACGGGUGAGUAAUGUCUGGGAAACUGCCUGAUGGAGGGGGAUAACUACUGGAAACGGUGGCUAAUACCGCAUAACGUCGCAAGACCAAAGAGGGGGACCUUCGGGCCUCUUGCCAUCAGAUGUGCCCAGAUGGGAUUAGCUUGUUGGUGAGGUAACGGCUCACCAAGGCGACGAUCCCUAGCUGGUCUGAGAGGAUGACCAGCCACACUGGAACUGAGACACGGUCCAGACUCCUACGGGAGGCAGCAGUGGGGAAUAUUGCACAAUGGGCGCAAGCCUGAUGCAGCCAUGCCGCGUGUAUGAAGAAGGCCUUCGGGUUGUAAAGUACUUUCAGCGGGGAGGAAGGUGUUGCGGUUAAUAACCGCAGCAAUUGACGUUACCCGCAGAAGAAGCACCGGCUAACUCCGUGCCAGCAGCCGCGGUAAUACGGAGGGUGCAAGCGUUAAUCGGAAUUACUGGGCGUAAAGCGCACGCAGGCGGUCUGUCAAGUCGGAUGUGAAAUCCCCGGGCUCAACCUGGGAACUGCAUUCGAAACUGGCAGGCUUGAGUCUUGUAGAGGGGGGUAGAAUUCCAGGUGUAGCGGUGAAAUGCGUAGAGAUCUGGAGGAAUACCGGUGGCGAAGGCGGCCCCCUGGACAAAGACUGACGCUCAGGUGCGAAAGCGUGGGGAGCAAACAGGAUUAGAUACCCUGGUAGUCCACGCCGUAAACGAUGUCUACUUGGAGGUUGUGCCCUUGAGGCGUGGCUUCCGGAGCUAACGCGUUAAGUAGACCGCCUGGGGAGUACGGCCGCAAGGUUAAAACUCAAAUGAAUUGACGGGGGCCCGCACAAGCGGUGGAGCAUGUGGUUUAAUUCGAUGCAACGCGAAGAACCUUACCUGGUCUUGACAUCCACAGAAGAAUCCAGAGAUGGAUUUGUGCCUUCGGGAACUGUGAGACAGGUGCUGCAUGGCUGUCGUCAGCUCGUGUUGUGAAAUGUUGGGUUAAGUCCCGCAACGAGCGCAACCCUUAUCCUUUGUUGCCAGCGAUUAGGUCGGGAACUCAAAGGAGACUGCCAGUGAUAAACUGGAGGAAGGUGGGGAUGACGUCAAGUCAUCAUGGCCCUUACGACCAGGGCUACACACGUGCUACAAUGGCGCAUACAAAGAGAAGCGACCUCGCGAGAGCAAGCGGACCUCAUAAAGUGCGUCGUAGUCCGGAUUGGAGUCUGCAACUCGACUCCAUGAAGUCGGAAUCGCUAGUAAUCGUGGAUCAGAAUGCCACGGUGAAUACGUUCCCGGGCCUUGUACACACCGCCCGUCACACCAUGGGAGUGGGUUGCAAAAGAAGUAGGUAGCUUAACCUUCGGGAGGGCGCUUACCACUUUGUGAUUCAUGACUGGGGUGAAGUCGUAACAAGG